GACGAACGCUGGCGGCGUGCUUAACACAUGCAAGUCGAACGGAAAGGCCCUGCUUUUGUGGGGUGCUCGAGUGGCGAACGGGUGAGUAACACGUGAGUAACCUGCCCUUGACUUUGGGAUAACUUCAGGAAACUGGGGCUAAUACCGGAUAGGAGCUCCUGCUGCAUGGUGGGGGUUGGAAAGUUUCGGCGGUUGGGGAUGGACUCGCGGCUUAUCAGCUUGUUGGUGGGGUAGUGGCUUACCAAGGCUUUGACGGGUAGCCGGCCUGAGAGGGUGACCGGCCACAUUGGGCCUGAGAUACGGCCCAGACGCCUACGGGAGGAAGCAGUGGGGAAUAUUGCACAAUGGGCGGAAGCCUGAUGCAGCAACGCCGCGUGCGGGAUGACGGCUUUCGGGUUGUAAACCGCUUUCGCCUGUGACGAAGCGUGAGUGACGGUAAUGGGUAAAGAAGCACCGGCGAACUACGU
This 467-nucleotide ribosomal RNA is filed under the name uncultured bacterium. Its description in RNAcentral is "partial 16S ribosomal RNA". It matches the Rfam family "Bacterial small subunit ribosomal RNA", at positions 28 to 506 of the family's 1533-position model. The record is from RNAcentral.